GUAGAUAUAAGUUAAAUUAUAAACUAUUAAUUUUCAAAAUUAAAAAUUUAAUCUAUA
Molecule: transfer RNA, 57 nt
Filed under: Haemonchus placei
Lineage: Eukaryota; Metazoa; Nematoda; Chromadorea; Rhabditida; Trichostrongylidae
Description: tRNA-Trp
Source: RNAcentral